Gossypium raimondii (Peruvian cotton) is the source of this 4340-nucleotide long non-coding RNA. RefSeq lists it as uncharacterized. The record is from RefSeq and is a predicted model, not a curated record. The transcript has 2 exons. NCBI's taxonomy places the organism in Eukaryota, Viridiplantae, Streptophyta, Magnoliopsida, Malvales, Malvaceae.
UAUUUUAAUCUCCAGUCCGAUAUUUUUUCACAAAAUUAAAAUAAAAUUCAAACCUUUUUCAAAAUAAAUAAUAUAAAAACUCUUUCUUCAUUCAUCUCUCUCACCUUCGGUUCUCUCUUUGCUCUCUUCCCUUUUCCCCUUUUUUCUACUAAUUUUCUUUUUCUCUCUUCCUUCUUUAUUGUCCUUUCUAACAAACCGCUGCCGCUGCCUCCACACACUUUCCAGCGUCUUACCUCCGAUCAGGCCAGCUUCCUUCCCAUCAUUCGAAAUUUAAAUCCUCAAAUAUAUCUAUCCAAUCCAUUGCUCCCCAUUUCUUCGGUGAUUCUCUCUCACUCUCGGUCUCUUUUCAACGUUUUCCUGUCAUUCUUUUUUAGCUUUGGGUAUCCACAGGCCAAAAAAACACACGCUAUAGUAGGAAGAGAGUUUUCGUGAGAGAAACCCUAAGUUUUCUCUGGCGUUUCUGGUUUUUGUGAUUUUUGAAUUUCGCUGCUUAAACGGAGACUCAUUUUAGGAACCCGGUGGGAGUUGUGUUGGCUUGAUUUUGGUUCUAGGAACCCGGUGGGAGUUGUGACGCACGUAGACUUUAUUUGGUAGUUUUUCUGGAUGGUAAUAAAAUGUCUUUUUAAUUCAUUGUGAGUUGUGACAUUCUGUUUCUUAGUUUUCUCAAAAAGUCUGUACUUUAGUUUUUAAAAAAUAAUAAUAAUCUAAUUGGGAUGCUUGUUGAUAUUGAUAGGAAUUGGAGAAUUUCAACCGAUUUGCUAAUUGCAAAGGUUUUUGUCGAUUUGGGUUUUAUGAUUAUAUACGGUGGAGAUUGUCAUGAUUCGUGUAUGCAUAUAUGUUUUCUUUUUCAUACUGCUGGGUGUUUGCAUUAGUCAGUAAGUGUUGGGUAUAUUUUCUUUAAAAUAAUUGGGAUUGUUUGAGUUCUGUUGGGUAUGAUUUGCAAAUGGAUUUUGAUUGGAAGUUUUAGGUAGACCCAUGGUAUCUCUGUAUAUCUGCUGAAUGAGAAGUUUUAUGUGAUUAUUGAUAUAUCCAUAUGGUGAAAAUGCUCUGAUUUUGGUUAAAGAUAGAAUUAUAUUCAUCUGUGUUACCUAGCCUUACAUGAAGCGAAAUUUAGUUGUAAUCUUUUAAGUAAAUAGGUUCCAUGAGACUGAUUAACGUAAUUUUGAUUUGCUUAUAGGUUGAUGGUUUUACGAGACUGGUAAAAAGAUGUGUUGGAUAUAUUCUCUAAUGAUGUCAUAACCAAUUUCUUGUUCAUUUAUUGUCCUAGUUGAUUUCUCGAUGCAUGCUGGUUCUGAAUAAAUUUUUGUUCUUUUGAUUUUUCUGUUUUGGGUUAGCUUACAGGAUUUAAAGAUUGUCUUAUUCCAAUACACGAAUAUCCUUGUCAUAUCCCGUCUCGGAAUAAGCUAUUCUGGGGAUAUCCCCUUUAUAUCCCAUCCCGAUUCAGAAUUUCACGUGUCCGGUUCAGUUCUUUUAGUGUCCGGUUCAGAUUUUUUAUGCUGCAGGACCGGACUACCUGUCACACUUAUUCCACGUAGGGAUAUCCCAUUCCGCGUAUAUCCCGGUUUGGGGAUAUCCCAAAAAGGGAUAUCACGGCCGGGUAUAUCCCAUUCCGACGAUAUCCCGGCGUUGGUUUAAGGUUUUUUUUGAAGGAAAAUACUGGGCUAUUAUUAAAAUACAAAAACACAAACCAUCAGGACUAAAAGACAGACUCCAAAACGAAAUAGGCCCAAAGCAAAACGAAAGCUUGGAAAAACAGGCCUAAAUUUAUCUGGGUCUAAGUACUAUUUAAGAAAAGAUUGUAUCUUCAAUCCAUAAAGAUUGAAUAUAACUUUUCCAAAGUACGAUAUUUUUCAAAAAAAUGAAAUAAAAUUCAAACCAUUUUUAAAAUAAAUAAUAAAAACUCUUUCUUCCUUCAUCUCUCUCACGUUCGGUUCUCCCUUUCUUCUCUCCCCCUUUUCCCCUUUCUUCUACUAAUUUUCUUUUUCUCUCUUCCUCCUUUAUUGUCCUUUCUAACAAACCGCUGCCGCUGCUUCCACACACUUUCCAGCGUCUUACCUCCGAUCAGGCCAGCUUCCUUCCCAUCAUUCGAAACUUAAAUCCUCAAAUAUAUCUAUCCAAUCCAUUGUUUCUCAUUUCUUCGGCGAUUCUCUCUCACCCUAGGUCUCUUUUCAACGUUUUCCUAUCAUUCUAUUUUAGCCUUGGGUAUCCAGAGGUCAAAAAAACACACGCUAUAGUAGGAAGAGAGUUUUCGUGAGAGAGAAACCCUAUGUUUUCUCUGGCGUUUCUGGUUUUUGUGAUUUUUGAAAUUCACUGCUUAAACGGAGACUCAUUUCAGGUAUCAAUUUCUUUUUUAGUUUCAGCUUUCGAAAUCUCUGUUUCGUUUCGUCUUUCAGAUCUAUAGAUGUCGGUCUUGUUCUUCAUUUUUGUUUGUUUAUCGUAUACUAUAUGUUGUUCUUUAUUUUUGGAUUGUUUGUUUCCCUCUGUUUAAUAUUUUAGCUUUUGUGUUAUUUUCUAUUUCUUUUAAAUCUUUGCUUAGCAGAAUACUAAUUGCUUAAACAAAAAUCAUCCGUAUGUAAAUUGUUUACUGCAUCUGUGUUGGCUUGAUUUUGGUUCUAGGAACCCAGCGGGAGUUGUGACGCAUGUAGAGUUUAUUUGUUAGUUUUUCUGGAUGGUAAUAAAAUGUCUUUUUAAUUCGUUGUGAGUUGUGACAUUCUGUUUCUUAGUUUUCUCAAAAAGUCUGUACUUUAGUUUUAAAAAAAUAGUAAUAAUCUAAUUGGGAUGCUUGUUGAUAUUGAUAAGAAUUGGAGAAUUUCAACCGAUUUGCUAAUUGCAAAGGUUUUUGUCGAUUUGGGUUUCAUGAUUAUAUACGGUGGAGAUUGUCUUGAUUCGUGUAUGCAUAUAUAUUUUCUUUUUCAUACUGCUGGGUGCUUGCAUUAGUCAGUAAGUGUUGGGUAUAUUUUCUUUAAAAUACUUGGGAUUGUUUGUGUUCUGUUGGGUAUGGUUUGCAAAUGGAUUUUGAUUGGAAGUUUUAGGUAGACCCAUGGUAUCUCUGUAUAUCAGCUGAAUGGGAAGUUUUGUGUGAUUAUUGAUAUAUCCAUGUGGUGAAAGUACUCUGAUUUUGGUUAAAGAUAGAAUUAUAUUCAUCUGUGUUACCUAGCCUUACAUGAAGGGAAAUUGAGUUGUAAUCUUUUAAAUAAAUAGGUUCUAUGAGACUGAUUAACAGAAUUUUAAUUUGCUUAUUGGUUGAUGGUUUAUGAGACUGAUAAAAAGAUGUGUUGGAUAUAUUCUCUAAUGAUGUCAUAACCAAUUUCUUGUUCAUUUAUUGUCUUAGUUAAUUUGAUGCGUGCUGGUUCUGAAUAAUUUUUUUUCUUUUGAUUUUUCUGUUUUGGGUUAGCUUACAGGAUUUAAAGAUUGUCUUUGGUCAAUCAUUUGAUAAUUAUUACCUUAUACAAGUGCUGUUUGAUUUUCCUUUUUCAAUGUUGUCAUAGUGUAUAAAUGUUGAGGGUUAAAUAUUUUAGAAUUAAAAGCAAAUUGACAUGAUAUAUAUAGCAGUUAUAAUAUUAUUUAAUUAAUAUUAUACAAUUAAUAUAAAAUGAAAUUAAAAUCAAGAUGUUUGGGAGUAUGAUUCGUUACUUUUCAACGAAACCCAAGCUGAAAAUGAAGCCAAUCGAGUUGAAAACGUCGCCAGAGCAAACGCAGACCAUAAGCAGAGUCACCUUUGACAUUCUCAAGGAGCAUGGGCCCCUCACCGUCGGUGAUACUUGGGAACGAAUCAAGGUCAGUUGUUUAGUAGACUAUAAUCUGUAUUCAUUGUGUAUCUAUAUUUGUUGUUUCCACAUCUAAUUAAGCCAAGCCCAAGAGUGAAGUAAGGGCAGUGCAAUUUUAUCGUUGCAUAAUUUUAGGAUCUUGAAUUCCAUACGAUAUUGUUUUUUUCAUGCUUUACUUGCCUGUGCUCGACAUAUUGGAGUAGAAAUGUGUUUAUGAGUUCAGGAGGUUGGACUGAGAGGACUUACAAGCAAGAGGCACAUGAAGAUCGUGGUGAGAUGGAUGAGAGGGAGACAAAACAUUAGGCUAAUAUGCAACCAUGUGGGGCCUCACAAACAAUUUCUGUAAACAACUUGGUUCACUAAACCAAGCAUCAGCCACGCAAGAGCUGUCCAUAAUUCCUCAACUUCUACAACUAGUUUUUCUGUCGAUACUUCUAGUCAAAAGUCGUCUUCAGGUUAGGUUGUAGCACGCUUGUGCUGGCUGUAAUACCAUCACAUGUACUGUUUUUUGCAAUAAUGUAAUACAAUUGUUCUGUUGUCAUGUUGUGGAAAUUUUACCCUCUUCUUCCCUUA